This 501-nucleotide ribosomal RNA is filed under the name uncultured Oscillibacter sp. RNAcentral describes it as "partial 16S ribosomal RNA". The record is from RNAcentral. Lineage: Bacteria; Bacillati; Bacillota; Clostridia; Eubacteriales; Oscillospiraceae.
CACGUAGUUAGCCGUGGCUUAUUCAAGGGGUACCGUCUUCUGCUCUUCCCCCUUAAAAGAAGUUUACAACCCGAAAGCCUUCUUCCUUCACGCGGCGUUGCUGGGUCAGACUUGCGUCCAUUGCCCAAUAUUCCCCACUGCUGCCUCCCGUAGGAGUCUGGGCCGUAUCUCAGUCCCAAUGUGGCCGGCCAACUUCUCAGUCCGGCUACUGAUCGUCGCCUUGGUGGGCCGUUACCUCACCAACUAGCUAAUCAGACGCGAGGCCAUCUUCCAGCGAUAAAUCUUUGACAUUCAAACCAUGCGAUUCAAAUGUAUCAUGCGGUAUUAGCAGUCGUUUCCAACUGUUGUCCCCCUCUGGAAGGCAGGUUCCUCACGCGUUACUCACCAGUCCGCCACUAAGUGUUCCCAUCCAUUGUCCGAAAACUCUUUCAGGGCACUCCGUUCGACUUGCAUGUGUUAAGCACGCCGCCAGCGUUCGUCCUGAGCCAGGAUCAAACUCUA